UACGGGGGGAGCAAGCGUUGUUCGGAUUUACUGGGCGUAAAGGGCGCGUAGGCGGUCAGCACUAGUCAGUUGUGAAAUCUCCGGGCUUAACUCGGAAAGGUCAACUGAUACUGUGCGACUAGAGUGCGGAAGGGGCAACUGGAAUUCUCGGUGUAGCGGUGAAAUGCGUAGAUAUCUGGAGGAGCACCGGUGGCGAAGGCGGCAUCCUGGACCAACACUGACACUGAGGAGCGAAAGCCAGGGGAGCAAACGGG
Molecule: ribosomal RNA, 254 nt
Filed under: uncultured bacterium
Lineage: Bacteria
Description: partial 16S ribosomal RNA
Rfam family: Bacterial small subunit ribosomal RNA
Source: RNAcentral